Molecule: long non-coding RNA, 2696 nt
Filed under: Amphibalanus amphitrite
Lineage: Eukaryota; Metazoa; Arthropoda; Thecostraca; Balanomorpha; Balanidae
Description: uncharacterized LOC122370928
Source: RNAcentral
UCAAUUUCACCCUUGCUCUACCUUGCAGUAAAACAGCUUAGGAGUUUUGCUUUUAGCUUUAAUUGUACUUUAUGUCUUAAUGCAUGCCCUGAGUUUUCGGCAUAAGCCUUUUAUUGACAAAUAACAAACUUCAUUUUUUCUUUAAAAACAUCUAUUGUUGCUAAAACCUCACGAUAAAUCAUAUGAAAAGUUGGCUCUCCAUCCUGGCAAACUGAACGAGGUCAAGCGUAUUUCUAGCAAGCUAAUGUGAAGUGGAGAUAUGUUCAAAACGUUCAAAAUGUGAACUGCGAUGGAUUUUCAUUGAAGGAGAGACAUUAAUUGAAAAAGGACAAGACACACGGACAACGGGCUAUCACUGAAACAUAAUAAAGGAAGACCCAGUAACCGAAGCAUUUUCGAUGUCGGCAUAGAAUAAACCUAUAGAGCCUUGGAAUAAACGCAAGUCCAACAUUAUCCUACUACUUGAACCUGAACCUGAAGUGAAAGAAACGUAAUUGGUCUUGUGAGUACAAAACAAAUACGACGCUGAAUACUUUGUGGGUGCUGAACACAUAGAUAUAACUUGAAGCAAAAUAGCGCUCACCGCCCUGACCAUUGAUGGUUCGAGGGGCACGUUGGAGUAUUUGUCCCCCUCUGCAGCGCCCAAAGGUACGAACUUACGCAUUUUUCCUCGCAUUGAGAGGGAAAUCAACAACUUUUAUAAGAAGUUUGAUUUAAACAGCACAAAUAGGCAUAAUAUAUCACACUACGAGAAAUUUUUGGAGAAGCAAAAAUGAAGCACAUUAUUGGGGAGCAUGCCUCCCCCAGCAUAUCAAAUAACUUCUGGAUCUUCUAAUGAAUUGACUUUUCCGGUUGGUCGGACGGAGUCAUGCAUUACAUCAGUGAUGCCAUCCACUGGGGCUAUUGUGUGCGACGUUCUCGUAUGCCCACCUACAAGCAGCGUUGUAGGUAAGUGACGGUCAGCUACGAGCGGGAUCUGCCGGCUAUCGAAGUCAUGUGCUCAAAUAACUAACCGUGCACACUGCACAGUGUGAAGGAGAAGGCCGACGAGCAAAUAGCAACUUUGACCGCGGCGCGGGAGCGCCCGUACGAGCUCAUAUUGGGCCGUACUGGCGGCACGUGGGAGAUCUGUUUUCUCGCCCAUGUGUCGUAGAUACGUAAGUGUCUGUGCGGUUGUGGCUUGUGCGUUUGUAAUCUUUGAUAUAACCAUGUGAAUAUGUAGCUACAACAAAAUACAUGCAACUGAAAUGUGAUGGGCAUUUUUUAAAGCCACGUACAGAUUUGGUACGGACUAGGCUAGCCGAGGCAGGGAAAUCCAACCCAGGGAAAGUCUAGUCCAAUCCAGUGCCCGGGUCUGGGGGCGUUUCCAUUUCCUUUGCAUUGCUCUGUAAAUGAAGCAGCUACCGAAAAUGAAAUUUUAGUGACCAGACGAAAGGUCGCAACAAAAUAAAUCUCCACAUUAAAAAUUGAGCUCGAGCCAAUUUAGGUCAAAAUUCAAAGCCAACUUGAUUGCAGGGAUCCUUAACUUAAUGGCAAGAAGCGCACGGAAUGCUGAAAUAUUUUAAAAGUGGGUGUGCCGUGGGGGCCUGCUUUAAAAACUCUGACCCCCUUCCAUCGAAAACAAUAUCUAGUUGCGUCAGCUAUCUCUAAAUCGCAUGAUUCAUCAAACAUUCGCCGGUUCCUUCAUGGCAUAAACCGAUGUUAUUUGAUAGCUCGUUCAAUUAUCGAUACGUGGAUGCUGGUCCCGUGCCGAUCAUUGGUCUAGCUACCAAGAUAUAUAGCCAGAACUGCAACGGUGUCUACCGCAUUUCGACGGUCAAAAUAAAAUUAAAAAGAUAUCUUCCACACGGAGGUCCCAUGACUCGUUUUCAAGCGUUACUGAGCUUCGAAAUUUUACUCUUUUACUAAUUACUUUUCACUAUUGUUUAUGAGACAGAGGGCAACAGUGAUUAGUAAACUUGAAAUCACUAUUCUACUAUACACCAGUAAUAGUAAAAAAUGUUUAUGAGAAAGGCUAAGAUGUCAUCAGGUUCAAGAAGUGCGCACAAAUCGCCUUAUUUCAUAGCUAUUCCGGUCUUCUUCACUAAUUAGUGCACAGGAGGCUAACAGUGCACCGAGGCAUGGAGUGCCCAAUGCGCAUCAUAUACUGACGCCCAUCAAGUUAGCAGGAAGACUAUUACAAGUUGACAGCGGCUGUAAUGGCUUCGCCAUGUGCACCAAGCUUCAAAGGCAAUGUCAAUAUUAUUUACACCGGAUGUGUUUUAGAUGAAAGCAUGCGUCCUCAUGGUCAUUGCGGAGACCCUGGAAUGAGAGUAAGUGGCUGCGUGCCUUUCCAUCGAUCUAUUUAUGUACGUGUACGCUGUGGAUGGCCCGUCCACGGACAAGCCUAUUGGCUCGAAUGAUGCAUACACAUCCACUUGUAUGCCGUGUAUGCAUCCUACCUUUACAGCCAUGUAUGAAUGCAGGCAUAUUGUAUGGUGUCGAUUGACUUCCAGAACGUUUGGCGUGAUUGUUUGACGGAAGACCAGGAAUGUCUGCGAUGAAUUAUUGGCAAAGCAAUCUGAAUGACGCGCGUGUGUUCAUGGUUAAUUACUUUUUUGCCAGCAACCAAGGAAAACUCUUGUUAUGCUUUGCAGUAUGCCUACUCAAUGUUUGCUUCUUAUUCACAUCUCAAUAAAGUGUGUGUUUAACAUUUA